RNAcentral lists this ribosomal RNA (444 nucleotides) under uncultured bacterium. RNAcentral describes it as "partial 16S ribosomal RNA". It matches the Rfam family "Bacterial small subunit ribosomal RNA", at positions 331 to 792 of the family's 1533-position model. The record is from RNAcentral.
CCAGACUCCUACGGGAGGCAGCAGUGGGGGAUAUUGCACAAUGGGGGGAACCCUGAUGCAGCGACGCCGCGUGGGUGAAGAAGCGCCUCGGCGCGUAAAGCCCUGUCAGCAGGGAAGAAAAUGACGGUACCUGAAGAAGAAGCCCCGGCUAACUACGUGCCAGCAGCCGCGGUAAUACGUAGGGGGCGAGCGUUAUCCGGAUUCACUGGGUGUAAAGGGAGCGUAGACGGCCAUGCAAGCCAGGGGUGAAAGCCCGGGGCCCAACCCCGGGACUGCAUUUGGAACUGUGCCGCUAGAGUGUCGGAGAGGCAGGCGGAAUUCCUAGUGUAGCGGUGAAAUGCGUAGAUAUUAGGAGGAACACCAGUGGCGAAGGCGGCUUACUGGACUGUAACUGACGUUGAGGCUCGAAAGCGUGGGGAGCAAACAGGAUUAGAUACCCUUGUA